UAGGACUUCUCGGCAAUGGAUAUCUUGGCUCUUGCAUCGAUGAAGAACGCAACGAAAAUGCGAUACGUGGUGCGAAUUGCAGAAUCCCGUGAACCAUCGAGUUUUUGAACGCAAGUUGCGCCUGAGGCCAACUGGCCGAGGGCACGUCCGCCUGGGCGUCAUGC
This 164-nucleotide ribosomal RNA is filed under the name Rimacola elliptica. RNAcentral describes it as "5.8S ribosomal RNA". It matches the Rfam family "5.8S ribosomal RNA". Rfam says of the family: 5.8S ribosomal RNA (5.8S rRNA) is a component of the large subunit of the eukaryotic ribosome. It is transcribed by RNA polymerase I as part of the 45S precursor that also contains 18S and 28S rRNA. The record is from RNAcentral. Lineage: Eukaryota; Viridiplantae; Streptophyta; Magnoliopsida; Asparagales; Orchidaceae.